This 402-nucleotide ribosomal RNA is filed under the name bacterium. RNAcentral describes it as "partial 16S ribosomal RNA". It matches the Rfam family "Bacterial small subunit ribosomal RNA", at positions 355 to 776 of the family's 1533-position model. The record is from RNAcentral.
UGGGGAAUUUUGCACAAUGGGGGAAACCCUGAUGCAGCGACGCCGCGUGAUUUAGAAGGCCUUCGGGUUGUAAAAAUCUUUUCUAUGGGAAGAAAAUGACAGUACCAUAGGAAUAAGGACCGGCUAAUUACGUGCCAGCAGCCGCAGUAAUACGUAAGGUCCGAGCGUUGUCCGGAAUCAUUGGGCGUAAAGGGUACGUAGGCGGGUAAGCAAGUUAGAAGUGAAAUCCUAUAGCUCAACUAUAGUAAGCUUUUAAAACUGCUCAUCUUGAGGUAUGGAAGGGAAAGUGGAAGUCCUAGUGUAGCGGUGAAAUGCGCAGAUAUUAGGAGGAAUACCGGUGGCGAAGGCGACUUUCUGGCCAUAACCUGACGCUGAGGUACGAAAGCGUGGGUAGCAAACAGG